RNAcentral lists this long non-coding RNA (865 nucleotides) under Ictidomys tridecemlineatus (thirteen-lined ground squirrel). RNAcentral's name for it is "lncRNA (ENSSTOG00000032012.1)". The record is from RNAcentral. Lineage: Eukaryota; Metazoa; Chordata; Mammalia; Rodentia; Sciuridae.
GCUUUAAAGACAUUGUUUUGGAGAAGGAAGUUGGCAAUGUCAGGUUUUGCCUUUGUGUGUUGUUUGGUCAACAGCAUUUAAUCUAAGAAAAAUGUGUUUCAUUUUGCUUUUUUCAGAGUGGCCUCUACUUUGAUCAGAGAAACUAUAGCAGUCUUAGAUAUAGCAAACCCACCUCUGCUUACUACACUCGGUCUUCUUCCCUAUGCAGUGACCCUCUGGCAACAUCUAAGAGUCAUAGGGCCUCCCCUACUGCAAAUUCUGGUCUGCUGAGAAGUGCCAGCCUGGCAUCAUUCUACGAUGGUGGAUUAUAUAACCCUUAUAGUUCUCGAACUGUAAGUCUAAAUGGGGAAGUCGUGAAGAGCAGGGAGAUGUAGGAGGGUACUAUUGACUUAAAAAGAAAAAGUCACUCAAUCUGACCUGUAAUUACUUAACAAGCUGUGAUCACUCAGUUAGCCAGUCGUGACUCUCACCCACGCUGUGAGAAGGUGCCUGCUAGCAGUCAUGACUUGAAAUAUGAGGGAAAUAAGUAGGGAAACCUCUUUUCUUGCUCAUUAAUUCUUCCUGAAGUUCUGAGCAGCACUUCUCAGGGCAUCCCCUUUCUCUCUCUUUCUAUGGGCUGUUUGUUUCAGACCAGAGAGUAAUAGUUACCUUUUGCCUUGGGGAUCAUGGUCAAGUUAGGUCUAGGGCCAUUAAUGUAUUCUCAGCAGAAAUAGGACCUGAUCAUUAUUAUAAAACCUUUCUUCUUGGAAACUUUAUAGCCAUCUGAAUACAGUUCUUACUCAUCAAGAGCAAGUUCAGCCCGAAGCAGUCCUGUGGUGAGCUGUCUAGUUUCUUUGCAUGUUUUAUAGAAACUUUUGGUUGUUUC